RNAcentral lists this ribosomal RNA (403 nucleotides) under bacterium. RNAcentral describes it as "partial 16S ribosomal RNA". It matches the Rfam family "Bacterial small subunit ribosomal RNA", at positions 355 to 776 of the family's 1533-position model. The record is from RNAcentral.
UGGGGAAUAUUGCACAAUGGAGGGAACUCUGAUGCAGCGACGCCGCGUGAACGAAGAAGGCUUUCGAGUCGUAAAGUUCUUUUAUAUGGGAAGAUAAUGACGGUACCAUAAGAAGAAGCCCCGGCUAACUAAGUGCCAGCAGCCGCGGUAAUACGUAGGGGGCUAGCGUUGUCCGGAAUCACUGGGCGUAAAGGGUUCGCAGGCGGAAAUGCAAGUCAGGUGUAAAAGGCAGUAGCUUAACUACUGUAAGCAUUUGAAACUGCAUAUCUUGAGAAGAGUAGAGGUAAGUGGAAUUUUUAGUGUAGCGGUGAAAUGCGUAGAUAUUAAAAAGAAUACCGGUGGCGAAGGCGACUUACUGGGCUCAUUCUGACGCUGAGUAACGAAAGCGUGGGUAGCAAACAGG